Molecule: transfer RNA, 67 nt
Filed under: Craugastor polyptychus
Lineage: Eukaryota; Metazoa; Chordata; Amphibia; Anura; Craugastoridae
Description: tRNA-Tyr
Rfam family: tRNA
About the family: Transfer RNA (tRNA) molecules are approximately 80 nucleotides in length.
Source: RNAcentral
AGGUAGGAUGGCCGAGAGAAGGCGGUGGGUUGUAGCCCCAAAGACAGAGGUAAUCCUCUUCCUGCCA